AAGAUUUUAAGUUAUUUAAACUAUUAACCUUCAAAGUUAAAUAUACUACUUUAAGUAAAUCUUA
Molecule: transfer RNA, 64 nt
Filed under: Atkinsoniella wui
Lineage: Eukaryota; Metazoa; Arthropoda; Insecta; Hemiptera; Cicadellidae
Description: tRNA-Trp
Source: RNAcentral